RNAcentral lists this ribosomal RNA (450 nucleotides) under uncultured bacterium. RNAcentral's name for it is "bacterial SSU rRNA". It matches the Rfam family "Bacterial small subunit ribosomal RNA", at positions 8 to 458 of the family's 1533-position model. The record is from RNAcentral.
AGAGUUUGAUCCUGGCUCAGGAUGAACGCUAGCGGGAGGCCUAACACAUGCAAGUCGAACGGGAUUGAGAGCUUGCUCUCAUGAGAGUGGCGCACGGGUGAGUAACGCGUAUGCAACCUACCUAUAACUGAGGGAUAGCCCAUAGAAAUGUGGAUUAAUACCUCAUAGUUCUUUUGUUCCGCAUGGGAUGAAAGAUAAAGCUCCGGCGGUUAUAGAUGGGCAUGCGUGACAUUAGCUAGUUGGUAAGGUAACGGCUUACCAAGGCUACGAUGUCUAGGGGUUCUGAGAGGAUGAUCCCCCACACUGGUACUGAGACACGGACCAGACUCCUACGGGAGGCAGCAGUGAGGGAUAUUGGUCAAUGGGCGCAAGCCUGAACCAGCCAUCCCGCGUGCAGGAUGAAGGCCCUAUGGGUCGUAAACUGCUUUUAUACACCAAGAAAAACACCCA